AUUAGGUUGGCAGAUUAGUGUUUUAAAUUUAGAAUUUAAUUAUGUAAAUAAUAUUACACCUAAUA
Molecule: transfer RNA, 65 nt
Filed under: Jacobiasca formosana
Lineage: Eukaryota; Metazoa; Arthropoda; Insecta; Hemiptera; Cicadellidae
Description: tRNA-Leu
Source: RNAcentral